Magallana angulata is the source of this 268-nucleotide long non-coding RNA. RefSeq lists it as uncharacterized. NCBI's taxonomy places the organism in Eukaryota, Metazoa, Mollusca, Bivalvia, Ostreida, Ostreidae. The transcript has 3 exons. The record is from RefSeq and is a predicted model, not a curated record.
CGAUAACGAAUCCGGAAUUAAUACGAAAUCGGUUUUAGUUUUGUCGAUGACAAAAUAUACGUCACAUUUUUACGUCACGGAGGCAGAAGAUCGAACUGCAGGAUGGAUUUAGCAGAGGCAUGCAUUGGCUGCUUGACAUAUCCCUGGAAGAGGACACCAACUAGCUAACACAGUCAAUGACAGAUGUCUCUUUGAAUUGAUAAAAUCAUAAUCAAAUGGAUAUAAUACAGAAGUUUCAAAGAUCUGUUUUGAUGUAGCCUGAAGAUUU